Molecule: small nuclear RNA, 321 nt
Filed under: Aotus nancymaae (Ma's night monkey)
Lineage: Eukaryota; Metazoa; Chordata; Mammalia; Primates; Aotidae
Description: 7SK RNA (ENSANAG00000012608.1)
Rfam family: 7SK RNA
About the family: 7SK was discovered as an abundant small nuclear RNA in the mid-70s but a possible function has only recently been suggested. Two independent studies have found that 7SK RNA binds the CDK9/cyclin T complex (known as elongation factor P-TEFb).
Source: Rfam by way of RNAcentral
GGAUGUGAAGGCGAUCUGACUGCAGUAUCUGUCACCUCACUGAUGGCCAGGGUUGAUUCAGAUGAUCUGGCUGGCUAGGCAGGUGACCCCUUCCUCCCUCACCGCUCCAUAUGUGUCCCUCCUGAAGCCACACACUUGGUCAAAAAGGACGACCAUCUACGAUAGAGGAGGACUGGUCUUGUUGGGUCAAGGGUAUACAAGUAGCUGUGCUUCCCUGCUAGAACCUCCAAACAAGCUCUCAAAGUAAUUAUGGCUGAAUUGCUUGGUUUCAAGUUAAUUUUAGUAAAAGGGCAAUCUGAAUAUAACCACUUAUACACCUUA